This 367-nucleotide ribosomal RNA is filed under the name uncultured alga. RNAcentral describes it as "bacterial LSU rRNA". It matches the Rfam family "Bacterial large subunit ribosomal RNA", at positions 2098 to 2465 of the family's 2925-position model. The record is from RNAcentral.
CCUUUACUAUAGCUUCGCUUGGCGUUAGCGACCGUAUGUGUAGGAUAGGUGGGAGGCUAUGAAACCGGGGCGCCAGCUCUGGUGGAGCCAUCCUUGAAAUACCACCCUUACUGUCGUUGACGUCUAACCGAGGGCUGUUAUCCGGUCCCGGGACAUGGCGUGGUGGGUAGUUUGACUGGGGCGGUCGCCUCCUAAAGUGUAACGGAGGCGCGCGAUGGUGGGCUCAGACCGGUCGGAAAUCGGUCGUCGAGUGCAAUGGCAUAAGCCCGCCUGACUGCGAGACUGACAAGUCGAGCAGAGACGAAAGUCGGCCAUAGUGAUCCGGUGGUCCCGCGUGGAAGGGCCAUCGCUCAACGGAUAAAAGGUA